This is a non-coding RNA of Microcebus murinus (gray mouse lemur), 505 nucleotides long. NCBI's taxonomy places the organism in Eukaryota, Metazoa, Chordata, Mammalia, Primates, Cheirogaleidae. The record is from RefSeq and is a predicted model, not a curated record.
AGAAACAGGGUCUCUCAUGCUUGCUCAGGCUGGUCUUGAACUCCUGGCCUCAAGCAAUUCUUCUGCCUCUACUUUCCAAAGCCUCUCUUUUUAAUCUAAUAUUGUCUCUUUGCAGCUAGAAGAUGCCGUGUUGAGUGCAGAGUCCAGGGCUAGAGAUCAGAGUCUUACCAGGCUGAAGCUGGAGGCUGGGGGGCUCUGGUGUGGGGCUCUCAAGGAUUGGAGGAGAUGAAGAGAUGACAUACUGAUAAAAAACACCUGGGUUUUCCUCCUGAAAGAUCAUCUGGGAGAAGAGAAGAAGCUCCCACCCUAAGAUGAUACCCCAGGCCCUCUCAGCUUCCUCCUGGCCUCCACACGGGGAAGGAGGAGGCCUUUCCCAGUUCAGUUGUUCACUGUGCUGAAUGGCGCUGGGGCGGGCAGAACAGAGAGGCCAGGAAUGGAGGAGAAGCAGCCGUGCUCACCAAGGUAGUUGGAGCUGGGCCGAAGCUGGGCAAUCUGGAGCCGGGAC